RNAcentral lists this ribosomal RNA (492 nucleotides) under uncultured bacterium. RNAcentral's name for it is "partial 16S ribosomal RNA". It matches the Rfam family "Bacterial small subunit ribosomal RNA", at positions 29 to 507 of the family's 1533-position model. The record is from RNAcentral.
AGUGAACGCUGGCGGUAGGCCUAACACAUGCAAGUCGAACGGCAGCACAGUAAGAGCUUGCUCUUACGGGUGGCGAGUGGCGGACGGGUGAGGAAUACAUCGGAAUCUACUUUUUCGUGGGGGAUAACGUAGGGAAACUUACGCUAAUACCGCAUACGACCUACGGGUGAAAGCAGGGGAUCUUCGGACCUUUCGCGAUUGAAUGAGCCGAUGUCGGAUUAGCUAGUUGGCGGGGUAAAGGCCCACCAAGGCGACGAUCCGUAGCUGGUCUGAGAGGAUGAUCAGCCACACUGGAACUGAGACACGGUCCAGACUCCUACGGGAGGCAGCAGUGGGGAAUAUUGGACAAUGGGGGCAAGCCUGAUCCAGCCAUACCGCGUGGGUGAAGAAGGCCUUAGGGUUGUAAAGCCCUUUUGUUGGGAAAGAAAAGCAGCAGGUUAAUACCCCGCUGUUCUGACGGUACCCAAAGAAUAAGCACCGGCUAACUUCGUG